UGGGGAAUUUUUGGGACAAUGGGCGAAAGCCUGAUCCAGCAAUGCCGCGUGUGUGAAGAAGGCCUUCGGGUUGUAAAGCACUUUUUGUCCGGGAAAAGAAAUCCUUGGCUCUAAUACAGUCGGGGGAUGACGGUACCGGAAGAAUAAGCACCGGCUAACUACGUGCCAGCAGCCGCGGUAAUAUGUAGGGUGCAAGCGUUAAUCGGAAUUACUGGGCGUAAAGUGUGCGCAGGCGGUUUGCUAAGACCGAUGUGAAAUCCCCGGGCUCAACCUGGGAACUGCAUUGGUGACUGGCAGGCUAGAGUAUGGCAGGAGGGGGGUAGAACUUCCACGUGUAGCAGUGAAAUGCGUAGAGAUGUGGAGGAAUACCGAUGGCCGAAGGCAGCCCCCUGGGCCAAUACUGACGCUCAUGCACGAAAGCGUGGGGAGCAAACAGGAUUAGAUACCCUGGUAGUCCACGCCCUAAACGAUGUCAACUAGUUGUUGGGGAUUCAUUUCCUUAGUAACGUAGCUAACGCGUGAAGUUGACCGCCU
Molecule: ribosomal RNA, 534 nt
Filed under: uncultured bacterium
Lineage: Bacteria
Description: partial 16S ribosomal RNA
Rfam family: Bacterial small subunit ribosomal RNA
Source: RNAcentral